GGCAAAAAUAUCUGGUUAUAUAGAAACAAUAGUAAAUAUUUAUUCCCGCACAAAGUCAAACAUUUGCUACUAAGUAUCAAAACCAACUGAAUAAUUCAAUAUUAUUGAUUUUCUCUGGUUAAUAACAGAAGAGCAUUGAGAAGAAAAUAACGUAACGUAUAAAGUACCUUUCCAUAAUAUGACUCCGAUACGUUAAACAAAGCAUCGUGAUGAUCAGAAUUUUAAAUUCUGGAGUGGAGAGCCUGAAGGAUGUUCUCGAAAUCCUUACCAGUCAUCUGGCUAUAUUGACCACCCAGUAUAUCAGUACCAAACACAUUUUGACCACCCACCAAGCUUUACAGGUGUUUUCUACCAGAUCUGGAUAGUUGGCAGGUGGUGGUGAUAGGUCACAUUCUUCAGAUGACUGCAAUUAUCCCCUUGAGAAACAUCACUUAUGACGUUCUGAACCUGACGCGUGAUGUCUUGUUAGAUAGAAUUAUAUUUUAGCCGACUUAUACGAACUCUAUAUAUAUUCUUAACCAGUUAUUAUUUGGGAUAAAACUAAAUAAUUAGUUUAUCGAAACAAUGGCAAUUAAUAAAAUAUAAAAUUUAAUCGUAUUUUCUCUACGCCACAGCGCAAGAUUAAAACUUUACAAUUUAAUAAACGUUCCGCAGAAUCUAAUCCCUCACAGAUCCUGAUGGAUCGAUCCAAAGAUUCCAUUCGAGAUGGAAAAGAAUUCAUUCAAUUACGUGGAAGUUCGCCAACUUAAUUCGGAAUUUAUUCAUUCCGAAAAUUAUUAUGACAAAUUAUUAUUUUGCACAAACUUCUCAAAAUAUAAUUUUUCCAAUUAUUGCAGAGUUUGGAUCUCUCGUACAGUCGUUAAUGAUAUAGUUGCGCAUAUAUUGAUGCACGUAUUGAUUAGGUUGACUUAAAUAAAAG
Molecule: long non-coding RNA, 919 nt
Filed under: Androctonus crassicauda
Lineage: Eukaryota; Metazoa; Arthropoda; Arachnida; Scorpiones; Buthidae
Source: RNAcentral